CCUACGGGAGGCAGCAGUGGGGAAUAUUGCACAAUGGGCGAAACCCUGAUGCAGCGACGCCGCGUGAGCGAUGAAGUAUUUCGGUAUGUAAAGCUCUAUCAGCAGGGAAGAAAAUGACGGUACCUGACUAAGAAGCCCCGGCUAACUACGUGCCAGCAGCCGCGGGAAUACGUAGGGGGCAACAGUUAUCCGGAUUUACUGGGGGUAAAGGGAGCGUAGACGGUCCGGCAAGCCAGAUGUGAAAGCACGGGGCUCAACCCCGGGACUGCAUUUGGAACUGUAUGGCUAGAGUGUCGGAGAGGCAGGCGGAAUGCCUAGUGUAGCGGUGAAAUGCGUAGAUAUUAGGAGGAACACCAGUGGCGAAGGCGGCCUGCUGGACGACGACUGACGUUGAGGCUCGAAAGCGUGGGGAGCAAACAGGAUUAGAUACCCCUGUAGUC
RNAcentral lists this ribosomal RNA (440 nucleotides) under uncultured bacterium. Its description in RNAcentral is "partial 16S ribosomal RNA". It matches the Rfam family "Bacterial small subunit ribosomal RNA", at positions 338 to 795 of the family's 1533-position model. The record is from RNAcentral.